GCCAGACUCCUACGGGAGGCAGCAGUGGGGAAUAUUGGACAAUGGGGGGAACCCUGAUCCAGCGACGCCGCGUGAGUGAAGAAGUAUUUCGGUAUGUAAAGCUCUAUCAGCAGGGAAGAAAGAAAUGACGGUACCUGACUAAGAAGCCCCGGCUAACUACGUGCCAGCAGCCGCGGUAAUACGUAGGGGGCAAGCGUUAUCCGGAUUUACUGGGUGUAAAGGGAGCGUAGACGGCGAUGCAAGCCAGAUGUGAAAGCCCGGGGCUCAACCCCGGGACUGCAUUUGGGACUGUAUAGCUAGAGUGUCGGAGAGGCAGGCGGAAUUCCUAGUGUAGCGGUGAAAUGCGUAGAUAUUAGGAGGAACACCAGUGGCGAAGGCGGCCUGCUGGACGAUGACUGACGUUGAGGCUCGAAAGCGUGGGGAGCAAACAGGAUUAGAUACCCUGGUA
Molecule: ribosomal RNA, 448 nt
Filed under: uncultured bacterium
Lineage: Bacteria
Description: bacterial SSU rRNA
Rfam family: Bacterial small subunit ribosomal RNA
Source: RNAcentral